GCGCGAAAACUUUACAAUGCUGGCAACAGCGAUAAGGGAACCGCGAGUGCCAGGUUACAAAUCUGGCUGUCGAGAUGCCUAAAAAGCAUUUCAUAGCAAGGGCCGGGCAAGACCGGUGCCAGCCGCCGCGGUAACACCGGCGGCUCGAGUGGUAACCGUUAUUAUUGGGUCUAAAGGGUCUGUAGCCGGCCGGAUAAGUCUCUUGAGAAAUCUGGCAGCUUAACUGCCAAGCUUUCAGGAGAUACUGUCUGGCUCGAGGCCGGGAGAGGUGAGAGGUACUUCAGGGGUAGGGGUGAAAUCUUGUAAUCCUUGAAGGACCACCAGUGGCGAAGGCGUCUCACCAGAACGGACCUGACGGCAAGGGACGAAAGCUAGGGGCACGAACCG
This 387-nucleotide ribosomal RNA is filed under the name uncultured bacterium. Its description in RNAcentral is "bacterial SSU rRNA". It matches the Rfam family "Archaeal small subunit ribosomal RNA", at positions 339 to 726 of the family's 1478-position model. The record is from RNAcentral.